UUGAAAAUGUCUUUGAAAUGU
This 21-nucleotide non-coding RNA is filed under the name Rattus norvegicus (Norway rat). The record is from RNAcentral. Lineage: Eukaryota; Metazoa; Chordata; Mammalia; Rodentia; Muridae.